GACGAACGCUGGCUGCGUGCUUAACACAUGCAAGUCGAACGGAAAGGCCCUGCUUUUGUGGUGCGCUCGAUUGGCGAACGGGUGAGUAACACGUGAGUAACCUGCCCUUGACUUUUGGAUAACUUCAGGAAACUGGGGCUAAUACCGGUUAGGAGCUCCUGCUGCAUGGUGGGGGUUGGAAAGUUUCGGCGGUUGGGGAUGGACUCGCGGCUUAUCAGCUUGUUGGUGGAGUAGUGGCUUACCAAGGCUUUGACGGGUAGCCGGCCUGAGAGGGUGACCGGGAACAGUGGGAAAGAGAUACGGCACAGAGUCGUACGGGAGGCAGCAGUGGGGAAUAUUGCACAAUGGACGGAAGCCGGAUGAAGCAACGCCGCGUGAGGGAUGACGGCCUUCGGGUUGUAAACAGCAUUCGCCUGUAACGAAGCGUGAGUGAAGGUAAUGGAUAAAGAAGCACCGGCUAACUACGUG
This 468-nucleotide ribosomal RNA is filed under the name uncultured bacterium. RNAcentral describes it as "partial 16S ribosomal RNA". It matches the Rfam family "Bacterial small subunit ribosomal RNA", at positions 28 to 507 of the family's 1533-position model. The record is from RNAcentral.